CCUACGGGAGGCAGCAGUGGGGGAUAUUGGACAAUGGGGGAAACCCUGAUCCAGCGACGCCGCGUGAGUGAAGAAGUAUUUCGGGAUGUAAAGCUCUAUCAGCAGGGAAGAAAGAAAUGACGGUACCUGAGUAAGAAGCCCCGGCUAACUACGUGCCAGCAGCCGCGGGAAUACGUAGGGGGCAAGCGUUAGCCGGAAUUACUGGGUGUAAAGGGAGCGUAGACGGUAAUGCAAGCCUGGAGUGAAAGGCGGGGGCCCAACCCCCGGACUGCUCUGGAAACUGUGUAACUGGAGUGCAGGAGAGGCAGGCGGAAUUCCUGGUGUAGCGGUGAAAUGCGUAGAUAUUAGGAGGAACACCAGUGGCGAAGGCGGCCUGCUGGACUGUAACUGACGUUGAGGCUCGAAAGCGUGGGGAGCAAACAGGAUUAGAUACCCCUGUAGUC
Molecule: ribosomal RNA, 443 nt
Filed under: uncultured bacterium
Lineage: Bacteria
Description: partial 16S ribosomal RNA
Rfam family: Bacterial small subunit ribosomal RNA
Source: RNAcentral